UCCCUUUCUUCUCUCUCUCCCUCUCUCUUCCUCCCAUCCGUGCGAACCCCUCCUCUCCAUCUUCUCUCCUUCUUCGCACGCCCAGCCAUGGAAGAGGUGGAUUGCAGCAGCCCUUUGCUCGACCGGUUGCUUGUCCGCCCGUCACCGCCUCACGCCGCCGCACGCCGUCCUCGCCGUCCGCUCGCUCGCCGACCAGCUCCCCCGCUCCGCCUCAGCCCGCAUCCUCAGCAGAUCUGGGAACCCCGAACCAGCAAGCCGAAGACCAGUUGAAGCCAGCAGCUCCACUCGUCGCCGCCGCCAGCCGGAGCUCCUCGCCGUCGUCGCUCGCCCGCGCGGUCGACCCGCUCGCCGCUCCGCCCAGCCACCUCCGCCUGCCUCUGUCCGCGAGUUCUAAGAGCUGCCGGAGCUCCCUCCGCCGCCGUGAGGCCUCGCCGGGCCGCCGCCUCACUCGUCCAAGCCCCGCCGGUUCUCCCUUGCCGUUCCUCCGCCCGAUUAGGCUCGAAUCAGCCCUCCUCCGCCCAAGAUCCGAAGUUGCAGAAAAUGGGUAUGCAGCGGCUUCGUGGCCCGUUUUGGCCGCCUUCCCGAGCCCGGAUGCUCGGCCCGCUUUGAGGAAAGUUGUUCUUCUCGGCGUCCCCGUCGUUUUGGUCCGCUCGAUUCGUUAAUCCGGUGAGUUUAACUCACUAAACCUUGCUUAGAGGGUUAAUGAUGCUUUAGGUGUGUUUAGUUUAUGUUAAGUGUUAUUAGGUGGUUAGUUUAAUUUAUUUAAGUGUAGAGUAUAUUAAUGUGCUUGAUUAACUUAAAUUGUGUUUAAUUUAAAGUUAAGUGGGUGUUUAUAUUAAUAUAAACAUUGAUGUGACAUAAAGGAAUUUAAUUUUGAUUUAUUUAAAUAUCCGAAAUCAUUAAAUAAUUUAAUAAUAUAUUAUUAUUCGAAAUUAUUAAAAUAUUAUUAUUUAAUUAUUUUCGGAAUAAAUUUAAUUAUUUAUUAAAUUCCGAAAAUUUUGGUCGGGACCCUAAAUUCUCAGAAUUUCGUGCCGGUCGCUACGGUACAUUCGGAUUUUGAAAUUGAUGAUUGGAUAUUAUAAAUUGAGUGAGGAUUUCGAAAACUAUGGAUAUUAUUAUUUAAUUAUUUUCGGAAUAAAUUUAAUUAUUUAUUAAAUUCCGAAAAUUUUCAUUGAUACCUUAUUUGCUCAGAAUUUCGUGCCGAUCGUUGCUGUGCAUUUAGAAUUUGAAAUUGAUGAUUGGUUGUGAUGAAUUGAGUGUGAUUGUGAUUUAUAGGGAUUCUUUACGAAAUCCUAAGUGUAGAAAUUGAUGGGAGAUUGGCUGUGAAUUACCACCUAUUAGAGGUCGUGCCCAGAGAGGCCGUGAUAAACCACCUUGGAAAGGUCGUGCCCGAUGAGGCCGUGAAAAACCACCUACAAGAGGUCGUGCCCGAUGAGGCCGUGAAAUACCACCUAUUAGAGGUCGUGCCCAGAGAGGCCGUGAUAAACCACCUGUGAAAGGUCGUGCCCAGAGAGGCCGUGAUAAACCACCUGUGAAAGGUCGUGCCUAGAGAGGCCGUGAUAAAUCACCUCUGAGAGGUCGUGCCCAGAGAGGCCGUGAUAAACCACCUUGGAAAGGUCGUGCCCGAUGAGGCCGUGAAAAACCACCUACAAGAGGUCGUGCCCAGUGGGGCCGUGAAUUGCCACCUGUUAAAGGUCGCGCCGAGUGGGGCCGUGAUGCCACUGAUUUUAAAUUUGCCAAGUAGGGCCGUAGUUGAGAGCAAUGACGAUCCAAGUGGUUGAAUGGUUUGAUGAUGUGAUUGUGCCAUGGUUGUUUGGUUAUCAUAAUUGUACGUGGUUGAAUUAUAUAAAUUGUGCUAACCUGCAGAUGAAGGCUGAGGCGAGGUAAGUCUUCUGUGUGAUGUGGCUAGGCCACCCGGGGCGUAUUUCUCUUUCUAAUAGGGGUUUAGGGGGUUGAACUUGCUGAGACAUCGUCUCAUCCCGGUUGUGGGAUUAAAAUUUCAGGUCCCUGAUGGACGGAGUGGCCAGAUAGCUUUGGUUGGCCUUGAAGGGUUGGAGAAGUGAAGGCAUAAGGAUUUGAGAUCGUGUCCGACUUGUAGGUCGUAGGACAAUUCCUUUUUAAGAGCCGGUCUUGUGUAGACUGUUGGCCAUAGACUUCUGUUUGUAAUUCUGUUGAAUUAUGAAAGUGUUUUGUUGUGGUUUUGUUUCCUGCUUUUCUAUCCCGUAUUUUAUUGUCAGGGGUUUUAUAAUACGUUCCGCUUGCGCAUUUAAUAAAACAAUGGGGUCGGCGACACUACCUGGGAAUGUCGCAUUUGAUCGACCGCAG
RNAcentral lists this long non-coding RNA (2325 nucleotides) under Eucalyptus grandis. Its description in RNAcentral is "long non-coding RNA (EGRA_LNC003144)". The record is from RNAcentral. Lineage: Eukaryota; Viridiplantae; Streptophyta; Magnoliopsida; Myrtales; Myrtaceae.